AUACGUAGGUGGCAAGCGUUGUCCGGAAUUACUGGGCGUAAAGAGCUCGUAGGUGGUUUGUCGCGUCGUCUGUGAAAUUCCGGGGCUUAACUCCGGGCGUGCAGGCGAUACGGGCAUAACUUGAGUACUGUAGGGGAGACUGGAAUUCCUGGUGUAACGGUGAAAUGCGCAGAUAUCAGGAGGAACACCGGAGGCGAAGGCGGGUCUCUGGGCAGUAACUGACGCUGAGGAGCGAAAGCAUGGGUAGCGAACAGGAUUAGAUACCCUGGUAGUCCAUGCCGUAAACGGUGGGCGCUAGGUGUAGGGGUCUUCCACGACUUCUGUGCCGUAGCUAACGCAUUAAGCGCCCCGCCUGGGGAGUACGGCCGCAAGGCUAAAACUCAAAGGAAUUGACGGGG
This 398-nucleotide ribosomal RNA is filed under the name uncultured bacterium. RNAcentral describes it as "partial 16S ribosomal RNA". It matches the Rfam family "Bacterial small subunit ribosomal RNA", at positions 523 to 918 of the family's 1533-position model. The record is from RNAcentral.